UUCCGGUUGAUCCUGCCGGACCCGUCUGCUAUCAGAGUGGGACUAAGCCAUGCGAGUCAACAUAGCAAUAUGUGGCAUACGGCUCAGUAACACGUAGUCAACAUGCCCAGGGGGCGUGGAUAACCUCGGGAAACUGAGGAUAAACCGCGAUAGGUCAUCACUUCUGGAAUGGGUAAUGACUUAAAUCUAUAUGGCCCCUGGAUUGGACUGCGGCCGAUCAGGCUGUUGGUGAGGUAAUGGCCCACCAAACCUGUAACCGGUACGGGCUCUGAGAGGAGGAGCCCGGAGAUGGGCACUGAGACAAGGGCCCAGGCCCUAUGGGGCGCAGCAGGCGCGAAACCUCUGCAAUAGGCGAAAGCUUGACAGGGUUACUCUGAGUGAUUUCCGUUAAGGAGAUCUUUUGGCACCUCUAAAAAUGGUGCAGAAUAAGGGGUGGGCAAGUCUGGUGUCAGCCGCCGCGGUAAUACCAGCACCCCGAGUGGUCGGGACGUUUAUUGGGCCUAAAGCAUCCGUAGCCGGUUCUACAAGUCUUCCGUUAAAUCCACCUGCUUAACAGGUGGGCUGCGGAAGAUACUAUAGAGCUAGGAGGCGGGAGAGGCAAGCGGCACUCGAUGGGUAGGGGUAAAAUCCGUUGAUCCAUUGAAGACCACCAGUGGCGAAGGCGGCUUGCCAGAACGCGCUCGACGGUGAGGGAUGAAAGCUGGGGGAGCAAACCGGAUUAGAUACCCGGGUAGUCCCAG
Molecule: ribosomal RNA, 740 nt
Filed under: uncultured archaeon
Lineage: Archaea
Description: bacterial SSU rRNA
Rfam family: Archaeal small subunit ribosomal RNA
Source: RNAcentral